UUCUUCCUCCCCGUGCCACUAGCAGCAGUCGUCUUUCGCUUCCCACCCCGACAACCAUUUACCUCCUCUCCCAUCAUCUCCCUCCGCCACCCAUCUACACACCUUCCCACCACAUCCUCCUUCAGCCCUCUCCUCUUCCAUCAGUCCCUGCUCUCCACUCCUCACCAUUUUAACAUUUUUCUCUCCUUCUGAGCCACGAGUUGCUACCUCUACCGGCGAGCUCGAAAUCAUGGUGGCAGAUUCGGAGAGGAGAACCACGAUUCUGGACCGUUCGAGAGAAAGAGGAGGAGAGGAUCGAUGUUCAAGUGAUUGUGUUCGAUGCCGCCGAUCGUGCGAAGAUCCUUGCGGCGGCGAAAUGGUGUCAGUGUGACACUUAAAGUUUCUCUCUGGCUGCCGACAAGCCACCAGCAUGAGAAUGGUUAGUUUCUGGGAGGGGUAAAAUUGGAAUAUCACAAAAAUGGAGAGGGCACGAUGGGAAAAAGAAUUUCAUUUAACUUCCUGUUCUUGUCUCUCCCUCUCACUCUCACUCUCACUCUCAAGUCCCUCAACCCCCAAGCGACCCUCUGAAAUCUCAGCUGAACCCUCUCAAACAAAACCCUACUUCUUUCUCUAAAGAUUCAUAUAUAUAUCAUUAGCAAUUUAGCAUUUCGUAUGAGGAAUAUGCAGCAUCAUCAUCCUCUUGUGGUAAAAGGUGUGAAAUUGGAGCAUGAAGAUGCAGAAGUAGUAAUAAUUGGGGGCAUGGUGUUGGACAUUCAUGCCACACCUUCAAUCGCUGCUAAACCAGGAACCACAACUCCUGGCAAGGUCUAUUAUGUUCAAGGAGGUGUAGCAAGGAAUGUAGCAGAGUGCAUGUCAAAGCUAGGAGCAAAGCCAUACAUGAUUAGUGCUCUCGGGUUUGACAUGGCUGGAAAUCUGCUAUUGGAGAAGUGGAAAUCAACUGGCCUAUCUAUAGAGGGUAUUUUGAAGGAUAAAGUUAUUGACACUCCAGUUGUGUGCAAUAUAUUUGAUGUUAAUGGUGAGGUGGCAGCUGGUGUUGCUAGUGUGCAAGCAAUUGAAAAAUAUCUUACACCUGACUGGAUUUUACACUUCAAGAGCACUUUACUUUCUGCUCCGGUAUUAAUGGUUGAUGCAAAUCUGAGUCCUCCUUCUCUAGAAGCUUCUUGUAAAUUGGCGGCCGAUGCAGAGUGUCCUGUCUGGUUUGAGCCAGUAUCUGUUACUAAAUCCCGAAGAAUAAGUUCUGUUGCCGAGUAUGUGACAUUUGCUUCUCCAAAUGAAGUUGAACUUAUUGCAAUGGCAAAUGCUUUAUCUGGGAGCGAUGAGUCCCAUCCGCUCAAAGAAUAUCAUAAGGAAAAUAACCAGUCACCAGCAUCGUCGUUUCAAAUUCUGAAACCAGCAAUAUGUGUUUUGUUAGAAAAGGGCAUCAAAGUGGUUCUAGUGACCCUGGGUUCAAAUGGGGUAUUUUUAUGCAGUAAGGGAGGGCCAAACUGCAUUAAAAUCCCUGUAGAGAAAACUCGUCGGCAUGGUUUUGGUGGAGAAUUGUAUAGGACUGUUAUGCAAAGGUUUCCACCUAGUUCUUAUUCUUUUUCAGAACAUGGUAGAAGUUCUCGUCUCUUUGCAUUGCAUUUGCCCUCAGUUCCUGCAUCAGUUGUGAGGCUUACUGGAGCUGGUGAUUGUUUAGUUGGCGGAACUCUCACAUCAAUCUCUGCAGGGUUAGAUAUUAUACAAAGCGUGUCAGUUGGCAUUGCUGUGGCUAAAGCUGCUGUUGAGGCUGAGGCCAAUGUCCCUUCUGCUUUCAGCUUAGCUACCAUUGCUGAUGAUGCUAAAUAUGUAUACUCUAGUGCCAAAGUGCUAUUCCACCAAUCAAUGUUGUGAAUUUUGAAUAAGCGUGGGCGAUGAAUUCUUGGAGCAAAUGAAACAACUAUACUCUCUGGCCCAAAGAAGAGAUUUGGCUCAUCUUAUCAAGAAAAUAUGAAUUCUGAAAAUGUGAGUAACCUUGUUACUACUGGAGUUGGUUCUGAGGCUGCUCUGGUCGAGGUUGAUGAACCUAGUUCGAAAAGGCUAAGACCAGCAACCUCCGAUGUUUGGAAUUUUUUCGAAAAGCUCGGUCCAGAUAAGGAUGGAGUAGAACGUGCUGAGUGUAAAGGAUGCAAGAAAGUGUUUAAAGCUGGAGGUAAGCGAUAUGGAACUUCUACUAUAAAACGACAUCUUGAUAGUUGUACUCAAAUUAAGCAUGAAGAUAUUGGUCAGACUAUAGCAGAAUUGCAACUUAAAAUGGGUUCACUUAAAAUUGAUUCAGGAGUGGCUAGAGAUAUGUUUGCUGGGUAUGUAGUUGCUGGGAAUAAGCCUUUUAAUAUGGUUGAUGAUAGGAGAUUUAGAAAUUGGGUGAAAUAUAUUAGUCCAACUUUGAAACUUCCUUCUAGGAAUACGGUUAAGGCUGACAUAGUGAAAGUUCACAAGAGAGAAGCUGCGAAACUUAAAAAAAUUUUAGUUUCCAUUCCAAAUAGAAUUUGCUUAACAUCUGAUCUUUGGACUUCCAGUACCAAUGAGGGGUUUAUAUGUUUGACUGCACAUUUUGUUGAUGAGAAAUGGAAAUUACAGAGUAAAAUUCUCAAUUUUUGUCAUAUGCCUCCUCCUCACACAGGAUUUGAGUUGUCUUCUAAAAUCUUUACGCUUUUGACUGAGUGAAAAGUUGAUAAAAAGAUUUUUUCCAUUACUUUGGAUAAUGCUUCUUCUAAUGAUACUUGUGUUGAACACUUGAAAAGUACUUUGGAUGUGCAUGGUUCAUUGUUGUGUGGUGGUGAAUUCUUUCAUGUUCGUUGCUCUGCUCAUAUUUUAAACCUUAUUGUCCAAGAUGGAAUGAAAAUAUGUGGUGAUGCAGUGUAUAAGAUUAGAGAGUCUAUUAAGUUUAUGAGAAAAUCUGAAAGUCGAAUGGUUAAGUUUAAAGAAUGUUUUGAAGAUAUUGAGGGACUUGAGUAUACGACUGCAUUAUGUUUAGAUGUUCCUACUAGGUGGAAUUCACUUUAUGCAAUGCUUGCAAGUGCUAUUCCUUAUAAGAAAUCUUUUGAAAUGUAUAAAGUAAAAGAAGUUGGGUUUAGGGAGUAUUGUCCUUCAUCAGAUGAGUGGAGAAGAACUGAAAAGAUAUGUGAUUUAUUGUUACCAUUUUACGAAACUACCAAGUUGAUGUCCAAAACUUCUUACCCAACAUCCAACUUGUAUUUUUUACAAGUUUGGCAAAUCCAGCUUAUUUUAAUGAAUAGUUUGAAGAAUGAUGAAGUGCUUAUAAGGAACAUGGGAGAAAAAAUGAUGAUUAAGUUCAAGAAAUAUUGGGAAGAAUACAGUGUUGUUCUUGCAUUUUGGGCAGUUCUUGAUCCUAGAUUUAAACUCAACACUUUGGUUCAUUGCUAUAAUGAGAUUGAUCCUAUUAGUGCUAAAGACAAAGUGGAGCUUGUGAAGAAUAAGUUAUAUAAGCUUUUUGAGGUUUAUGACCAAAAUUCCUCUACAACUGUAGAGUGUUCUUCCCAACUUUCAAGUAAUUUUUCUCAAGCAACAUCUUCUGCAAUUGGAACUCAGCUUAUUAAAAUUGUUGUUGAUUUGAUGUCCCAUAAUCAAGAAGUUGAAGUGAAAAGUGGAAAGAACCAACUGGAUAUUUAUUUAAGUGAGGCAACAUUAUUUUGCAAUGAUGCAAUCAUUGAUGUUUUGCAAUGGUGGAAAGACAACCAUCAUCGUUUUCCAACACUAUCACUAAUGGCACGAGAUUUGUUGAGCAUUCCAUUACUACCGUGGCUUCAGAAUCUGCAUUUAGCAUGGGUUCUCAUGUUUUGAAUAAGUAUAGAAGUCGUUUGUUGUCAGAUAAUGUUGAAGCGGUGAUUUGCACCAGAAAUUGGAUACGUGGAUAUGAUGAUUUUGAGGAAGAUAAAGAUCAGGAAGAUAUUGCAAAAGGAGAAGGCUAUUUUUCAGGAGUUGGUUCCAAUGAUGUUAUUGACUUAUAUGAAGAUGAAGAUGAAAAUUAAGUGUAUUAAAUUAAGUUUAAUUUGCUUUGAAGACUAUUUAUAAUUAUGUUUUUGGACUUUGGAUUAUAUAUUUAUUUUGUCUAUGGGACUAUUUAUAAGUUAUAACUAUGUUUUUGUAUUUUGGAUAAUUGGAUUAUGUUUAUUUAU
RNA transcript from Arachis stenosperma, 4157 nucleotides. It is a transcript of the gene named pseudouridine kinase, with no coding region annotated. The transcript is spliced from 12 exons. Lineage: Eukaryota; Viridiplantae; Streptophyta; Magnoliopsida; Fabales; Fabaceae. The record is from RefSeq and is a predicted model, not a curated record.